Molecule: ribosomal RNA, 249 nt
Filed under: uncultured bacterium
Lineage: Bacteria
Description: partial 16S ribosomal RNA
Rfam family: Bacterial small subunit ribosomal RNA
Source: RNAcentral
GCAAGUCGAACGAGAAAGCAACUUCGGUUGUGAGUAGAGUGGCGCACGGGUGAGUAACACUUGGGUAACGUACCUUCUAGAGGUGGACAACUGGGGAAACUCCAGCUAAUACCGCGUACCUCGUAAUUUACUCCGGUUUAUUACGAGAAAGCCGUAAGGCGCUAGAAGAGCGGCCCGAGCCCCAUUAGCUUGUUGGUAGGGUAAUGGCCUACCAAGGCGACGAUGGGUAGCUGGUUUGAGAGAAUGAUC